Molecule: ribosomal RNA, 485 nt
Filed under: Thinophilus murphyi
Lineage: Eukaryota; Metazoa; Arthropoda; Insecta; Diptera; Dolichopodidae
Description: partial 16S ribosomal RNA
Rfam family: Bacterial large subunit ribosomal RNA
Source: RNAcentral
GAUAAAAAUUGAAGGGCCGCAGUAUUCUAACUGUGCAAAGGUAGCAUAAUAAUUAGUCUUUUAAUUGAAGGCUUGUAUGAAUGAUUGGACGAGAUAUAAGCUGUCUCAAAUGAAUUGAUAGAAUUUUAUUUUUCAGUUAAAAAGCUGAGAUUUUUUUAAAAGACGAGAAGACCCUAUAGAUCUUUAUAUUAUUAACAUUAUAUUUUUAUUGGAUUUAUUGUGAAUGUAUUGGUACUAAUAUUUUAUUGGGGUGAUAUUGAAAUUUAUUAAACUUUCAAUUAUUUUAUAAACAUUAAUUUAUGAUUUAUUGAUCCAUUAUUAUUGAUUAAAAAUUUAAGUUACCUUAGGGAUAACAGCGUAAUUAUUUUGGAGAGUUCAAAUCGAUAAAAUAGAUUGCGACCUCGAUGUUGGAUUAAGAUUAAUUCUGGGCGCAGCCGUUCAGAAUAUUAAGUCUGUUCGACUUUUAAUUUCUUACAUGAUCUGAG